UUGCGCAAAUGUGGCAACGGAUUGGUAGAGAAUAAACGUGUGUCUCUACUAUUAGCAUAUUACAGCACGCGUAUCUUGAUCAUAACCUCAAUUGGCUGUGCCAGCGGCUACUCAAAUCUGUACCGCGCCCUUUGCACUGAGAAGCGUGACACCCUACGCUACGGUGACCGUCCUGUGCUGACUUGCCUUUCUUUUACAAAGUCAUGCUGACAUAGAUUUCAUACUUAUAUCAAGUUAAGUCUUUGGCAUAGACAUUUUUAUUUUACAGAGGAAUUUACCAGUCACUUAAUUUUAAUAACUGCCAUAUUUCGAGUUAUUAUAAUUUACUGCUACUUCAUAAAUGUAUUAACUAAUGAAUAGACAACAACUAAUCAGGUUUAAUGUUCGUCCGUCAAUUGUCAGUACAGCACACAAUUUCCACUUGUGCUGUGGCAGAGCCACGAACAUAUCCUGGACUGAUCGAUCUGUCAUGGGGACAGCUAAACAUCGCCACAGGCAUACAUUUAAAAGUAUUUUUAGAAUGUAGUAGGAAAUACGAGUUAAAUGAAAAUGCAUACUCAAAAUCAGCAUAAAAAACGCAAACUCUUGCUUAGAAGGCACCUCGAAAGGAAUUUGUGCAGACAAAAGAAAGCGGCAGUACAAACUAUUAUUUGAUGUGGGAAGUAAGUAGUUUAGUUACAUAACACAGGAAAUU
Erpetoichthys calabaricus (reedfish) is the source of this 694-nucleotide long non-coding RNA. RefSeq lists it as uncharacterized. The transcript has 3 exons. NCBI's taxonomy places the organism in Eukaryota, Metazoa, Chordata, Cladistia, Polypteriformes, Polypteridae. The record is from RefSeq and is a predicted model, not a curated record.